UACAUGGGGUGCAACCGUUGCUCGGAAUCAUUGGGCGUAAAGCGCGCGUAGGCGGUUAUUUAAGUUGGAUGUGAAAGCCCUCGGCUUAACUGAGGAAGUGCAUCCAAAACUGAAUAGCUAGAGUACGAAAGAGGGUCGCGGAAUUCCCGGUGUAGAGGUGAAAUUCGUAGAUAUCGGGAGGAACACCGGUGGCGAAGGCGGCGACCUGGGUCGAGACUGACGCUGAGACACGAAGGCCAGGGGAGCAAACGGG
Molecule: ribosomal RNA, 253 nt
Filed under: uncultured bacterium
Lineage: Bacteria
Description: partial 16S ribosomal RNA
Rfam family: Bacterial small subunit ribosomal RNA
Source: RNAcentral